AUCAAGGUCAUCCUAAUUGUAAGAUCCGUUUGGUUGUCCAGCUACGUUCAGUGAAGGCCUGUGGGAGAGAAGUUCCAGAAGUGUUAACAUGAUGGAGUCAUAUUCUGAGCAUCACUGCUGUCUGUCACAGAGCUGGCCUUGAACAUAAAGUGGUACAACAGAGGGCAUGUAACAGUAUGGUAUGAAUGACAGCUACAGCAGCUUUUGCUGAGCUACGUGGUAUAAUGAACAGAUGCUGUUUGUGCCGAGCUGUUCUACCUCUUCCCCCAGUGCUGCCGCAGCUUACCUUGGAGUUUGAAUUGUUUAUUACUGUUUUGAAAUAAGGAAUGGGCUCACUGGUUUAGUAGCAAUUCUCUAAAACCAAACAAAUGCAUUGAAGUGUACAUUUUACUGUCCGCAAUACAUUGUGCUAAGUUGACAAAUACCACAUAAUGUAAAAGAACUAUAUAAAUUUCAGAAGGAGCAGAAAUUAGCAGUGAGUCUGGCAAACAGAAUUACCUUCCUGGACAGUAAGAACUGUAGAAAUGUGUUAACGUUAGUUCUUCGGCUAAUGUUUUUUGAUUGUUAAUGUUCGCACAAAGUAGCACAAAAAAUACAUAUAAUUAGGAAAGUGUUUCCUGCCCUCAUGCCUCUUCUGUGCAUAAGCUGCAUCAAUGGCAACAUCACUAGUAAAGUAAACUACUUGCAUUUAUUGGAAUAUGAAAUAAAAAAAUAAAGAGUUAUGAUUU
Long non-coding RNA from Protopterus annectens (West African lungfish), 728 nucleotides. RefSeq lists it as uncharacterized. The record is from RefSeq and is a predicted model, not a curated record. NCBI's taxonomy places the organism in Eukaryota, Metazoa, Chordata, Ceratodontiformes, Protopteridae. The transcript has 3 exons.